AAGACGAGAUUAAUAUAUAGGCACUACAUCUAACUAGAUUUACCAGAUAAAAUAUUAAUGUCAACUAUAUGCUGUCCAUGCAAUCCAUUUCCAUUUUCGCAUCAGCAUCUAUUCAGAAACUCAUCAUUCCUUGAUGCGAAUUUGGGCUUAUCCAAUAAUUUCCAGUAGCUAUAAAAGUUUUUGGAUCAUGUGGCCCUUUCACUAGUUCGUCACCAUCUGAUAUAUGUGCAGAUUUCAUAUAGGCUCAAGUACUCAAUUUAAUCCCUUUUACAGUUUAUAAAAAAAUUAAUAAAGUUUGAUUUAAAUUUUUAACAGCAUAUUUCAUCGACUUUUAUUAAAAUCUACUAAAAAUUUGAUUUUUAGCUAAAUAAAAAGACAUUUACCAUGGUAUCUUAGAACUGGACCUUAAUUUAAUGGUCAACUCACAAAUGAGAGAAUUCAUUGGCAAUUUGUUCUUUUCAACUGCCAAAAAACAAAGCAGUUAAUCUAAUUGAUGACGACGACUAUCACUGAAAAGACAAAAAAGAUUGUGCAUAUUUGAAUCGAUUUCCUUUCACUGAAGCAAUUUAAUUGGAUAAACAGGAUCACUACGCUCUAUAUAAAUAGAUGGAUACAUGAUAUAUUAUAUCACUUACAGAAAAUAGAAACAAACAUCACAGAAGGAAAAUGUCUAUCUUCAAAUUCUCAAUAUGCCUUAUUUUCAUCUUGCUUUCAGCUUCAGUCAUCAGAGCUCGUCCUGUCCCGGUCCGACCGAUAAGUGUUGCCCGAGAAGCACUGGAGACUCAAAUUGAAAAGGAGAAAAUGAUGUAUCAAACUAAUCAAGAGAGGCCUGAACGUGUUAGUCCCGGAGGACCCGAUCCACACCACCAUAUUGUACACACCAAUUAUCAAAACUCUAGAAUCAAGGCUUGAUAUAUAUUAGGAUUGGAAUGGGAACUCUCGUGCAAAUAAAUCAAGAUUUUAGCUUUCCUUGUAAUAAUGCAAAUCUUUCGACUGAAAAUGGCACGUUAAAAUUUGUAUUGUGGUCACUUGUUGAUUACGUAAAUUUUCUACCGUUUUCGAGACAUGGAAGUGCAACAACAAAGUAGAUAAGAAUGUCCCAUGUUACGUGCCUUACAAAUUAUAAGAAUAUCCCAUGUUACGUGCCUUACAAAUUAUGUAAUUAAAAUAUUAGAUUUAGAAGCUGUAAAGGGUCGAGUACCCCAAAUAAACCGUAUAGAGAAAGUAACAACUUAUUUUCGAAGCCAUAAAAUGAGAUUUGAAAUCUAAAUUGGCUAGUAUGAUAGCCAUGCAAACUAAUGCAUUGAACCGUGAUUAACAUAAUUUUCAAUUUCAAUAAAAAAGAAAUAUUAUAUGACUAAAUGUUCA
RNAcentral lists this long non-coding RNA (1368 nucleotides) under Olea europaea subsp. europaea. The record is from RNAcentral. Lineage: Eukaryota; Viridiplantae; Streptophyta; Magnoliopsida; Lamiales; Oleaceae.